UGGGGAAUAUUGGACAAUGGGCGAAAGCCUGAUCCAGCCAUGCCGCGUGUGUGAAGAAGGUCUUCGGAUUGUAAAGCACUUUAAGUUGGGAGGAAGGGCAUUAACCUAAUACGUUAGUGUUUUGACGUUACCGACAGAAUAAGCACCGGCUAACUCUGUGCCAGCAGCCGCGGUAAUACAGAGGGUGCAAGCGUUAAUCGGAAUUACUGGGCGUAAAGCGCGCGUAGGUGGUUUGUUAAGUUGGAUGUGAAAUCCCCGGGCUCAACCUGGGAACUGCAUUCAAAACUGACUGACUAGAGUAUGGUAGAGGGUGGUGGAAUUUCCUGUGUAGCGGAGAAAUGCGUAGAUAUGGGAAGGAACACCAGUGGCGAAGGCGACCACCUGGACUAAUACUGACACUGAGGUGCGAAAGCGUGGGGAGCAAACA
RNAcentral lists this ribosomal RNA (427 nucleotides) under uncultured bacterium. RNAcentral's name for it is "partial 16S ribosomal RNA". It matches the Rfam family "Bacterial small subunit ribosomal RNA", at positions 355 to 774 of the family's 1533-position model. The record is from RNAcentral.